AUGGCUCAGGAUGAACGCUAGCGGCAGGCUUAACACAUGCAAGUCGAGGGGCAGCAUGACGGAACCUUCGGGUUUUGUUGAUGGCGACCGGCGCAAGGGUGCGUAACGCGUGAGCAACUUGCCCGUUUCUGGGGAAUAACCGGUGGAAAACGCCGACUAAUACCCCAUAGCAUUGACUUUGGGCAUCCUUAGUCAAUUAAAGAAUUUCGGAAACGGAUAGGCUCGCGUGACAUUAGCUUGAUGGCGGGGUAACGGCCCACCAUGGCGACGAUGUCUAGGGGUUCUGAGAGGAAGGUCCCCCACACUGGAACUGAGACACGGUCCAGACUCCUACGGGAGGCAGCAGUGAGGAAUAUUGGUCAAUGGUCUGACGACUGAACCAGCCAUGCCGCGUGAAGGUGACGGCCCUAUGGGUCUUAAACUUCUUUUGUAAGGGAGCAAUAAGUCUCACGUGUGGGAUGAUGAGAGUACCUUACGAAUAAGCAUCGGCUAACUCCGUG
RNAcentral lists this ribosomal RNA (500 nucleotides) under uncultured bacterium. Its description in RNAcentral is "bacterial SSU rRNA". It matches the Rfam family "Bacterial small subunit ribosomal RNA", at positions 19 to 507 of the family's 1533-position model. The record is from RNAcentral.